Non-coding RNA from Phascolarctos cinereus (koala), 1815 nucleotides. NCBI's taxonomy places the organism in Eukaryota, Metazoa, Chordata, Mammalia, Diprotodontia, Phascolarctidae. The record is from RefSeq and is a predicted model, not a curated record.
UUAACACAAGUCAAGUAGAUCCAUAUUCAGAUCCCAUCUCUUACAUGGAUUGGACCAUGUUGGACCAUGGCCAGCUAGCUUCUCCGUACCUCAGACAGCUCUGUAAUACUGAUCUAAUAGGCUGUCCAGGAUGGAUUGUCAUUUGCAACAGUGCUCUAUGGAUCCAUAAUACUUUGCACACCAGAUACUAGUUAAUAAAUGUUUGUUGAAUUAAAUUGUUGGAGUUUGACUAUCAGGGGAAUAUUUUUUUUUUUGGUCACAGGGAAUCACAGAUCCACCUAGUAAGGUGGAAAGGAUUUCAUCUGCAUUGGUGGAAACAGUGGCUAUGUGGAUGAAAUUAUGUAUCUUUGAAAGCUAGAAAUUAAUUUCUGAAUACAUCCCUCCAAAUUGAACCCUCCCUUGUCUGUGAUAAAGAAAAAUUGGCUAUCUCAUUUCUCAUGAAGCCGGAGGAAUGGACUCAAAGGGAGAACCUGGCAAGGAGAUCGUUUCAUGAUUGAUGUCAACCACAGGCACAAAGAUAUGGUCAUCAGACACAGAUUUCUCUCCAGUUACAUGGUCAUUUAUAUUUUUCUUCUUGUUAUGCUUAUUUCACCAUGCAUCAAUUCAUACAGAUGUUCACCUUUUCUCUGAAAUUCUCAUAUUCACCAUUUCUAACUGACCAAUAAUAUUCCAUUAUAUUAACAUGUCAGUUUGUUCAGUCAUUCUCAAGUCAAUAGGCAACUUGCUUUUCCCCCCCAAGUACUUAGUUCUCACAAAAGUAUAGCUCCAAAUAUAUUGUUUUCUGUUGAACUCUUCUUUCUGUUUUUUUGUUUUUUAGCCUCUUUGGGGCAUAUACUCAAUAGUGAGAUUACGAGGUCAAAGGAUAUGAAUAAUUUAGUCACUCCAAAUUUUCCUCUAGAAUGGAAAUUCGCAGUUCUACCAAUAAUGUAUUAGUGUUCAUAUCAUCUUAUAAAAGACUCCAGCAUGAAUCAUUUCCAAUUUUUUGUUAUCUUUGCCAAUAUGAGGAAUGUUAGGUGAAAUAUUAGAAUUGUUUUAAUUUGCAUCUCUCUCUCUCUUUUAGAGAUUAGGAGCAUUUUUUAAAAAAUAAGACCAUCAAUAGUUUGCAGUCCUUCCUUUGAAAACUUUUCAUAACUUUUGAUCACAUAUAUGGUGAAUGGCACCCUAAUUUGAUGCUAAUACUUUCUUAAAGAGAGGUACUACGUCUUUGACUUUCUACAUUCCCAUAAUGGGGAAAGCAUUGCACUGUACCUAGUAGGUUCUAAAAUCUAGUUUUAAUUGACUGACUCAAUACAUGAAGAAACCUAAGAAAUUAUGUGCCCAAAUGACUUUCAAAGGAUUGCCUGAUGUAUUAAUUUCAGGUAAAGCCUUGAGCUUUCUGUCUCGAGAUGAACAAAAAUUAUAAGGUAUUUUUUGUGAUAAAGAUAUGCAAAUGUUAAAUAUUGGAUAGGGUGAAAAAAAAGUAGCAAAAGCAGAUAGGAAGUUGCAAAGAAAAUAAUUCAAGGAGAAAUCCAUUCAGCGAGGUCUGGUCUAACAACUGAAAACUCUGUGCUAUUUUUGGAAUAAGGAUUCUUUUCCAUCAUAAACACUGUGAUUAUUUAAACCUGCUGUGAUUUUUUUGGCGUUUUUUGCUUUUGUGACAACUGCUUUUGACAAUUUUGUUUUCUUUUAAAGCGAUUAUUUUGUAAUGCUAUUUUGGGGAAGCUAUAGGAGCAGGGAGUGGUAUACCCUUAGUAUACCCUACUAAGUAUGUAAUAAUGAUAUCCAAAUCUGGCCUCAGGCACUUACUAGCUAUAUGACCCUGGGCAAGUCACUUAA